RNAcentral lists this ribosomal RNA (466 nucleotides) under uncultured bacterium. Its description in RNAcentral is "partial 16S ribosomal RNA". It matches the Rfam family "Bacterial small subunit ribosomal RNA", at positions 28 to 507 of the family's 1533-position model. The record is from RNAcentral.
GACGAACGCUGGCGGCGCGCCUAACACAUGCAAGUCGAACGAGCGAGAGAGAGCUUGCUUUCUCGAGCGAGUGGCGAACGGGUGAGUAACGCGUGAGGAACCUGCCUCAAAGAGGGGGACAACAGUUGGAAACGACUGCUAAUACCGCAUAAGCCCACGACCCGGCAUCGGGUAGAGGGAAAAGGAGCAAUCCGCUUUGAGAUGGCCUCGCGUCCGAUUAGCUAGUUGGUGAGGUAACGGCCCACCAAGGCGACGAUCGGUAGCCGGACUGAGAGGUGGAACGGCCACAUUGGGACUGAGACACGGCCCAGACUCCUACGGGAGGCAGCAGUGGGGAAUAUUGCACAAUGGGGGAAACCCUGAUGCAGCGACGCCGCGUGGAGGAAGAAGGUCUUCGGAUUGUAAACUCCUGUUGUAGAGGAAGAUAAUGACGGUACUCAACAAGGAAGUGACGGCUAACUACGUG